CGCGGGAUAGAGCAGUUUGGUAGCUCGUCGGGCUCAUAACCCGAAGGUCGUAGGUUCGAAUCCUUCUCCCGCAA
RNAcentral lists this transfer RNA (74 nucleotides) under Candidatus Phytoplasma mali AT. It matches the Rfam family "tRNA". From Rfam's summary of the family: Transfer RNA (tRNA) molecules are approximately 80 nucleotides in length. Their secondary structure includes four short double-helical elements and three loops (D, anti-codon, and T loops). The record is from Rfam by way of RNAcentral. Lineage: Bacteria; Bacillati; Mycoplasmatota; Mollicutes; Acholeplasmatales; Acholeplasmataceae.